Molecule: unclassified non-coding RNA, 2671 nt
Filed under: uncultured Oscillospiraceae bacterium
Lineage: Bacteria; Bacillati; Bacillota; Clostridia; Eubacteriales; Oscillospiraceae
Description: partial contains 16S ribosomal RNA, 16S-23S ribosomal RNA intergenic spacer, and 23S ribosomal RNA
Rfam family: Bacterial small subunit ribosomal RNA (bases 1-1503)
Source: RNAcentral
GACGAACGCUGGCGGCGUGCUUAACACAUGCAAGUCGAACGGAGCACCCUUGAAAGAGAUUUCGGUCAAUGGAUAGGAAUGCUUAGUGGCGGACGGGUGAGUAACGCGUGAGGAACCUGCCUUUCAGAGGGGGACAACAGCUGGAAACGGCUGCUAAUACCGCAUAACACAUAGGUGUCGCAUGGCAUUUAUGUCAAAGAUUUAUCGCUGAGAGAUGGCCUCGCGUCUGAUUAGCUAGUUGGUAGGGUAACGGCCUACCAAGGCGACGAUCAGUAGCCGGACUGAGAGGUUGGCCGGCCACAUUGGGACUGAGAUACGGCCCAGACUCCUACGGGAGGCAGCAGUGGGGAAUAUUGGGCAAUGGGCGCAAGCCUGACCCAGCAACGCCGCGUGAAGGAAGAAGGCUUUCGGGUUGUAAACUUCUUUUAAGAGGGAAGAGUAGAAGACGGUACCUCUUGAAUAAGCCACGGCUAACUACGUGCCAGCAGCCGCGGUAAUACGUAGGUGGCAAGCGUUGUCCGGAUUUACUGGGUGUAAAGGGCGUGUAGCCGGGCCGGCAAGUCAGAUGUGAAAUCCCAAGGCUCAACCUUGGAACUGCAUUUGAAACUGUUGGUCUUGAGUAUCGGAGAGGCAGGCGGAAUUCCUAGUGUAGCGGUGAAAUGCGUAGAUAUUAGGAGGAACACCAGUGGCGAAGGCGGCCUGCUGGACGACAACUGACGGUGAGGCGCGAAAGCGUGGGGAGCAAACAGGAUUAGAUACCCUGGUAGUCCACGCUGUAAACGAUGGAUACUAGGUGUGCGGGGACUGACCCCCUGCGUGCCGCAGCUAACGCAAUAAGUAUCCCACCUGGGGAGUACGAUCGCAAGGUUGAAACUCAAAGGAAUUGACGGGGGCCCGCACAAGCGGUGGAUUAUGUGGUUUAAUUCGAUGCAACGCGAAGAACCUUACCAGGGCUUGACAUCCUACUAACGAAGUAGAGAUACAUUAGGUACCCUUCGGGGGAAGUAGAGACAGGUGGUGCAUGGUUGUCGUCAGCUCGUGUCGUGAGAUGUUGGGUUAAGUCCCGCAACGAGCGCAACCCUUAUUGUUAGUUGCUACGCAAGAGCACUCUAGCGAGACUGCCGUUGACAAAACGGAGGAAGGUGGGGACGACGUCAAAUCAUCAUGCCCCUUAUGUCCUGGGCUACACACGUAAUACAAUGGCGGCCAACAGAGGGAUGCAAAGCCGUGAGGUGGAGCGAACCCCUAAAAGCCGUCCCAGUUCAGAUCGCAGGCUGCAACCCGCCUGCGUGAAGUCGGAAUCGCUAGUAAUCGCGGAUCAGCAUGCCGCGGUGAAUACGUUCCCGGGCCUUGUACACACCGCCCGUCACACCAUGAGAGUCGGGAACACCCGAAGUCCGUAGCCUAACCGCAAGGAGGGCGCGGCCGAAGGUGGGUUCGAUAAUUGGGGUGAAGUCGUAACAAGGUAGCCGUUCGAGAACGAGCGGCUGGAUCACCUCCUUUCUAAGGAGACAUCAGGUAGACUAAGGUUUGCUUGUAACGUCCUAGGUCAGCUGGUAAGCGGAAGUUUGUUACAUUGUUUAAUUUAGAGGGCACUGGCCUUCUGAAGAGAUAUGAGGGGAUAUAGCUCAGCUGGGAGAGCGCCUGCCUUGCAAGCAGGAGGUCGCCGGUUCGAUCCCGACUAUCUCCACCACGUCGAAGCAAACUGCAUAUCCCUCGCUUCCGGGCAAGCCCGAAAGCUCACUCAUUCCGUUGCUUCUCCUUUCCAAAUCGAACCCGCUGCGCUGGGCUUUGAUUUGGGUAAAACGGAGGACAAUAAAUAGGGGCCCGUAGCUCAGCUGGCUAGAGCGUACGACUGAUAAUCGUAAGGUCGGUGGUUCGAGCCCACUCGGGCCCACCAAUCUGAGUUAAGCUUAGAUAUAAGCUUUUAAGAGAUUAAAGGCUUAUAUCUGACCUUAAAGGUCAGAUAUCGCACCUUGAAAACUGAACAAAGGAAGAAGAAUUUGAGAGUAAAGCAAGGCAACAGAGAGGUCUUUCAGACGAGAGUUUGAAAGGUAGCAAGUUUAAUUGUGGAACAACACCGAAAGGUGAAGGGUAAAACAAUUACAAUAAGCCAAAGAAACUUCUUUGUGAGGCCUGCAUAAUUCAACUAGAGAACUGAUCUAUCAAAGAUUGUUCUACUGGUCAAGCUAUAAAGAGCGCAAGGGGAAUGCCUUGGCAUCAGGAGCCGAUGAAGGACGUGACAAGCUGCGAUAAGCUUCGGGGAGGAGCAAAUAUCCAUUGAUCCGGAGAUUUCCGAAUGGGGAAACCCGCGAGAGCAAUACUCUCGCAGCGUGCGUUGAAUCAAAUAGGCGUACGUGGGGAACCGCCUGAACUGAAACAUCUAAGUAGGGCGAGGAAGAGACAUCAACCGAGAUUCCGUAAGUAGUGGCGAGCGAACGCGGAAGAGGCCAAACCGAGGGAUUUAUUCCUCGGGGUUGCGGACCGGCAUAAGGGACAAUAGCUUAGGAGAACGGCAUGGGAAGGCCGGCCAUAGCGGGUGAGAGCCCCGUAUCCGAAAAGUGACGAUACCAGCUGAGUUCCAGAGUACCGCGGGACACGUGAAACCCCGUGGGAAACCGGGUGGACCACCAUCCAAGCCUAAAUACUACCUGAUGACCGAUAGAGGAGC